CGUAGGGUGCGAGCGUUGUCCGGAAUUAUUGGGCGUAAAGAGCUUGUAGGCGGUCUGUCACGUCUGCUGUGAAAAUCCGGGGCUCAACCCCGGACUUGCAGUGGGUACGGGCAGACUAGAGUGUGGUAGGGGAGACUGGAAUUCCUGGUGUAGCGGUGGAAUGCGCAGAUAUCAGGAGGAACACCGAUGGCGAAGGCAGGUCUCUGGGCCAUAACUGACGCUGAGAAGCGAAAGCAUGGGAGCGAACAGGAUU
RNAcentral lists this ribosomal RNA (253 nucleotides) under uncultured bacterium. Its description in RNAcentral is "partial 16S ribosomal RNA". It matches the Rfam family "Bacterial small subunit ribosomal RNA", at positions 526 to 779 of the family's 1533-position model. The record is from RNAcentral.